AGACGUCUACAUUAGAUACCCCGGUAGUCCCAGCCGUAAACUAUGCGCGUUAGGUGUAUCGGUGACCACGAGUUACCGAGGUGCCGAAGGAAACCGUGAAACGUGCCGCCUGGGAAGUACGGUCGCAAGGACUGAAACUUAAAGGAAUUGGCGGGGAGCACCACAACGGGUGGAGCCUGCGGUUUAAUUGGACUCAACGCCGGGAAGCUCACCGGAUAAGACAGCGGAAUGAUUGUCGGGCUGAAGACUCUGCAUGACUAGCUG
RNAcentral lists this ribosomal RNA (264 nucleotides) under uncultured archaeon. RNAcentral describes it as "partial 16S ribosomal RNA". It matches the Rfam family "Archaeal small subunit ribosomal RNA", at positions 717 to 982 of the family's 1478-position model. The record is from RNAcentral.